RNAcentral lists this ribosomal RNA (505 nucleotides) under uncultured bacterium. RNAcentral describes it as "partial 16S ribosomal RNA". It matches the Rfam family "Bacterial small subunit ribosomal RNA", at positions 28 to 507 of the family's 1533-position model. The record is from RNAcentral.
GACGAACGCUGGCGGCGUGCCUAAUACAUGCAAGUAGAACGCACAGUUUAUACCGUAGCUUGCUACACCAUAGACUGUGAGUUGCGAACGGGUGAGUAACGCGUAGGUAACCUGCCUGGUAGCGGGGGAUAACUAUUGGAAACGAUAGCUAAUACCGCAUAAUAUUAAUUAUUGCAUGAUAAUUAAUUGAAAGGUGCAAUUGCACCACUACCAGAUGGACCUGCGUUGUAUUAGCUAGUAGGUGAGGUAACGGCUCACCUAGGCGACGAUACAUAGCCGACCUGGGAGGGUGAUCGGCCACACUGGGACUGAGACACGGCCCAGACUCCUACGGGAGGCAGCAGUAGGGAAUCUUCGGCAAUGGACGAAAGUCUGACCGAGCAACGCCGCGUGAGUGAAGAAGGUUUUCGGAUCGUAAAGCUCUGUUGUAAGAGAAGAACGGGUGUGAGAGUGGAAAGUUCACACUGUGACGGUAUCUUACCAGAAAGGGGCGGCUAACUACGUG